GUACGGGAGGCAGCAGUAGGGAAUAUUGGACAAUGGGCGAAAGCCUGAUCCAGCCAUGCCGCGUGAUGGAUGAAGGCCCUCUGGGUUGUAAACAUCUUUUAUUAGGGAAGAAACAUCUCGUUUCUACGAGACUUGACGGUACCUGAUGAAUAAGCACCGGCUAACUCCGUGCCAGCAGCCGCGGUAAUACGGAGGGUGCAAGCGUUAUCCGGAUUUACUGGGUUUAAAGGGUGCGUAGGCGGGAAAAUAAGUCAGUGGUGAAAGCACCGGGCUCAACUCGGUAACUGCCAUUGAUACUGUUUUUCUUGAAUGCGAUUGAGGUAAGCGGAAUGUUGCAUGUAGCGGUGAAAUGCUUAGAUAUGUUACAGAACACCAAUUGUGAAGACAGCUUACUAAGUCGUGAUUGACGCUGAGGCACGAAAGCGUGGGGAGCAAACAGGAUUAGAAACCCUAGUAGUCCG
Molecule: ribosomal RNA, 461 nt
Filed under: uncultured bacterium
Lineage: Bacteria
Description: bacterial SSU rRNA
Rfam family: Bacterial small subunit ribosomal RNA
Source: RNAcentral